Salvia miltiorrhiza (redroot sage) is the source of this 87-nucleotide small nucleolar RNA. The record is from RefSeq and is a predicted model, not a curated record. Lineage: Eukaryota; Viridiplantae; Streptophyta; Magnoliopsida; Lamiales; Lamiaceae.
AAGAGGCGUGAUGAUAAUCUACCCAUAUAGAUAUAUUUUCUGUAUUUGAAUGAUGAAUACUUAUCAUGCACUACCAUCUGAUCUCUU